AUACAUGCAAGUCGAGCGGACAGAUGGGAGCUUGCUCCCUGAUGUUAGCGGCGGACGGGUGAGUAACACGUGGGUAACCUGCCUGUAAGACUGGGAUAACUCCGGGAAACCGGGGCUAAUACCGGAUGGUUGUUUGAACCGCAUGGUUCAAACAUAAAAGGUGGCUUCGGCUACCACUUACAGAUGGACCCGCGGCGCAUUAGCUAGUUGGUGAGGUAAYGGCUCACCAAGGCAACGAUGCGUAGCCGACCUGAGAGGGUGAUCGGCCACACUGGGACUGAGACACGGCCCAGACUCCUACGGGAGGCAGCAGUAGGGAAUCUUCCGCAAUGGACGAAAGUCUGACGGAGCAACGCCGCGUGAGUGAUGAAGGUUUUCGGAUCGUAAAGCUCUGUUGUUAGGGAAGAACAAGUACCGUUCGAAUAGGGCGGUACCUUGACGGUACCUAACCAGAAAGCCACGGCUAACUACGUGCCAGCAGCCGCGGUAAUACGUAGGUGGCAAGCGUUGUCCGGAAUUAUUGGGCGUAAAGGGCUCGCAGGCGGUUUCUUAAGUCUGAUGUGAAAGCCCCCGGCUCAACCGGGGAGGGUCAUUGGAAACUGGGGAACUUGAGUGCAGAAGAGGAGAGUGGAAUUCCACGUGUAGCGGUGAAAUGCGUAGAGAUGUGGAGGAACACCAGUGGCGAAGGCGACUCUCUGGUCUGUAACUGACGCUGAGGAGCGAAAGCGUGGGGAGCGAACAGGAUUAGAUACCCUGGUAGUCCACGCCGUAAACGAUGAGUGCUAAGUGUUAGGGGGUUUCCGCCCCUUAGUGCUGCAGCUAACGCAUUAAGCACUCCGCCUGGGGAGUACGGUCGCAAGACUGAAACUCAAAGGAAUUGACGGGGGCCCGCACAAGCGGUGGAGCAUGUGGUUUAAUUCGAAGCAACGCGAAGAACCUUAACCAGGGGUCUUGACAUCCUCUGACAAUCCUAGAGAUAGGACGUCCCCUUCGGGGGCAGAGUGACAGGUGGUGCAUGGUUGUCGUCAGCUCGUGUCGUGAGAUGUUGGGUUAAGUCCCGCAACGAGCGCAACCCUUGAUCUUAGUUGCCAGCAUUCAGUUGGGCACUCUAAGGUGACUGCCGGUGACAAACCGGAGGAAGGUGGGGAUGACGUCAAAUCAUCAUGCCCCUUAUGACCUGGGCUACACACGUGCUACAAUGGACAGAACAAAGGGCAGCGAAACCGCGAGGUUAAGCCAAUCCCACAAAUCUGUUCUCAGUUCGGAUCGCAGUCUGCAACUCGACUGCGUGAAGCUGGAAUCGCUAGUAA
RNAcentral lists this ribosomal RNA (1310 nucleotides) under Bacillus sp. FPZSP060. RNAcentral's name for it is "bacterial SSU rRNA". It matches the Rfam family "Bacterial small subunit ribosomal RNA", at positions 51 to 1341 of the family's 1533-position model. Lineage: Bacteria; Bacillati; Bacillota; Bacilli; Caryophanales; Bacillaceae. The record is from RNAcentral.